Molecule: long non-coding RNA, 472 nt
Organism: Ochotona curzoniae (black-lipped pika)
Lineage: Eukaryota; Metazoa; Chordata; Mammalia; Lagomorpha; Ochotonidae
Exons: 3
Source: RefSeq, a predicted model, not a curated record
UAGCUCCGUGGUACCGAAAAGGCCCACAAGUCACUUAGAAUUGCCUCAGUGUGCUUGUGCCUCCUCAAGUAAGGUUCGGCUCUAAAAAUCCUGAUGGCGCAGCACUGUUUCUUCGUUGUUACACGGCUGAAGGAAAAAAACAAAACAAAAAACAAACUCAUCCCUUGGCGGGGGGUUCCCAUUGGAAGGAGACCCUUUCCGACUCUUACAAGCAAUUUGUUCCUGAGGAAACAAAAUUUCUCCCCUCAAGUCACCACAGAAUUUCGCAGAACCCAAACACACGUUGCUGUACACCGUGGUCACAAGUUUGUUUCUUGUUUCUACUAAUGGACGCUGAAAAGAAGGAGUUGGAAGGAUAAGGAUGAGUGAGCACUGUCCACCUUAGUACAUCCAAGAUGCAUUCACUUACUAUGAAGCUUGGCUAGAAGAGCUGUCCCACCUGUUCUGCUUUCUAUCCUCCAACAAGGCACUG